This 253-nucleotide ribosomal RNA is filed under the name uncultured bacterium. RNAcentral describes it as "partial 16S ribosomal RNA". It matches the Rfam family "Bacterial small subunit ribosomal RNA", at positions 524 to 776 of the family's 1533-position model. The record is from RNAcentral.
ACCGUAGGACGCAAGCGUUAUCCGGAGUUACUGGGCGUAAAGCGUGGGCAGGCGGCUUCGCAAGUUCGAUGUGAAAUCUCUCAGCUCAACUGGGAGCAGCCAUUGGAAACUACGAAGCUGGAGUCUGGCAGAGGUAGGCGGAAUUCCGGGUGGAGUGGUGAAAUGCGUAGAGAUCCGGAGGAACACCAGAGGCGAAGGCGGCCUACUGGGCCAGUACUGACGCUGAGCCGCGAAAGCCAGGGGAGCGAACGGG